This 63-nucleotide transfer RNA is filed under the name Aphthona euphorbiae. RNAcentral describes it as "tRNA-Pro". The record is from RNAcentral. Lineage: Eukaryota; Metazoa; Arthropoda; Insecta; Coleoptera; Chrysomelidae.
CAGAUAUUAGUUUAUUAAAAUUUUAAUUUUGGAGAUUAAAGAUAAGAGGUUUCUUAUAUCUGA